RNAcentral lists this ribosomal RNA (424 nucleotides) under uncultured bacterium. Its description in RNAcentral is "partial 16S ribosomal RNA". It matches the Rfam family "Bacterial small subunit ribosomal RNA", at positions 360 to 776 of the family's 1533-position model. The record is from RNAcentral.
AAUAUUGGACAAUGGGGGCAACCCUGAUCCAGCCAUGCCGCGUGUGUGAAGAAGGUCUUCGGAUUGUAACGCACUUUAAGUUGGGUGGAAGGGUUGUGGAUUAAUACUCUACAAUUUUUACGUUACCGACAGAAUAAGCACCGGCUAACUACGUGCCACCAGCCGCGGUAAUACGAAGGGUGCAAGCGUUACUCGGAAUUACUGGGCGUAAAGGGCGCGUAGGUGGUUCGUUAAGUCGGAAGUGAAAGCCCCGGGCUUAACCUGGGAAUUGCUUUCAAAACUGACGAGCUAGAGUACGGUAGAGGGUAGUGGAAUUUCCUGUGUAGCGGUGAAAUGCGUAGAUAUAGGAAGGAACAUCAGUGGCGAAGGCGACUACCUGGACUGAUACUGACACUGAGGUGCGAAAGCGUGGGGAGCAAACAGG